GUUUCAUCAUGAUGAAUUAAUAAUCAAACUCACAUGUCAGAAUUUAGAGAUUUUCAAAGUAAAUCAAUAACAAUGUGAGUUCUUGUUCAAUAAUCAGAA
Molecule: small nucleolar RNA, 99 nt
Organism: Vicia villosa (hairy vetch)
Lineage: Eukaryota; Viridiplantae; Streptophyta; Magnoliopsida; Fabales; Fabaceae
Product: small nucleolar RNA R64/Z200 family
Exons: 1
Source: RefSeq, a predicted model, not a curated record